RNAcentral lists this transfer RNA (74 nucleotides) under Fibrobacterota bacterium. Its description in RNAcentral is "Fibrobacteres bacterium tRNA-Met". It matches the Rfam family "tRNA". Rfam says of the family: Transfer RNA (tRNA) molecules are approximately 80 nucleotides in length. Their secondary structure includes four short double-helical elements and three loops (D, anti-codon, and T loops). The record is from RNAcentral. RNAcentral also lists the same sequence under 1 other name. Lineage: Bacteria; Pseudomonadati; Fibrobacterota.
GGCGGUAUAGCUCAGUUGGUUAGAGCGAGGGAAUCAUAAUCCCUGCGUCCUUGGUUCAAAUCCGAGUACCGCUA